RNAcentral lists this long non-coding RNA (442 nucleotides) under Coffea arabica (coffee). RNAcentral's name for it is "long non-coding RNA (CARA_LNC002707)". The record is from RNAcentral. Lineage: Eukaryota; Viridiplantae; Streptophyta; Magnoliopsida; Gentianales; Rubiaceae.
AGAAGCAGUCUGCAGUUAACAUGCUUGAGGGCAGAAACAGGAUUGUGGAGUUCCGUAGCCCAACUCUCUACAAGGACGAUGAGAAGUUGAGAGAAGCUAUGAAACAACAAGCUUAUGUGCCCGAUACUAGAUAUGUGCUUCACGACAUUGAUCAAGAGGCAAAAGAACAGGCCUUGCUUUAUCAUAGUGAACGUCUGGCAAUUGCAUAUGGUCUGAUAAGUACACCUGCCAGGACACCUUUGCGGAUCAUCAAGAACCUUCGUGUUUGUGGUGAUUGUCACAAUGCCAUCAAGAUCAUGUCAAGGAUUGUCGGGAGGGAAUUGAUUGUUAGAGAUAACAAACGUUUCCACCAUUUCAAGGAUGGCAAGUGUUCCUGUGGUGAUUACUGGUGAUUUGAUGACGGCUUAUGCAACAAUGCAUCCUAACACCACAAAAAUGUUUU